ACUGGCUUUAUUUGGUGCAUGGAGUACACUUUCAUCCUCUAGCACCAUAUGAAAUCAGUUU
RNAcentral lists this microRNA precursor (61 nucleotides) under Saccoglossus kowalevskii. Its description in RNAcentral is "Sko-Mir-29-P2_pre stem-loop". The record is from RNAcentral. Lineage: Eukaryota; Metazoa; Hemichordata; Enteropneusta; Harrimaniidae.